UACAAGGACCGCAAUUAUGGCAUGACCGCCA
Molecule: non-coding RNA, 31 nt
Filed under: Rattus norvegicus (Norway rat)
Lineage: Eukaryota; Metazoa; Chordata; Mammalia; Rodentia; Muridae
Source: RNAcentral